RNAcentral lists this ribosomal RNA (432 nucleotides) under Klebsiella pneumoniae. RNAcentral describes it as "partial 23S ribosomal RNA". It matches the Rfam family "Bacterial large subunit ribosomal RNA", at positions 526 to 960 of the family's 2925-position model. Lineage: Bacteria; Pseudomonadati; Pseudomonadota; Gammaproteobacteria; Enterobacterales; Enterobacteriaceae. The record is from RNAcentral.
CCUGUGAGGGGAGUGAAAUAGAUCCUGAAACCGCAUGCAUACAAGCAGUGGGAGCACCUUCGUGGUGUGACUGCGUACCUUUUGUAUAAUGGGUCAGCGACUUAUAUUCAGUAGCAAGGUUAACCGUAUAGGGGAGCCGUAGAGAAAUCGAGUCUUAAUAGGGCGUUUAGUUGCUGGGUAUAGACCCGAAACCAGGCGAUCUAUCCAUGAGCAGGUUGAAGGUUGGGUAACACUAACUGGAGGACCGAACCCACUGUCGUUGAAAAGCCAGGGGAUGACUUGUGGAUAGGGGUGAAAGGCUAAUCAAGCCUGGUGAUAGCUGGUUCUCCCCGAAAGCUAUUUAGGUAGCGCCUCGGACGAAUACCAUAGGGGGUAGAGCACUGUUUCGGCUAGGGGGUCAUCCCGACUUACCAAACCGAUGCAAACUCCGAA